AGGCCCGUAGCUCAACCGGCAGAGCAGCGGUCUCCAAAGCCGCCGGUCCAGGUUCGACCCCUGGCGGGCUUG
This 72-nucleotide transfer RNA is filed under the name Nocardia puris. It matches the Rfam family "tRNA". Rfam says of the family: Transfer RNA (tRNA) molecules are approximately 80 nucleotides in length. Their secondary structure includes four short double-helical elements and three loops (D, anti-codon, and T loops). Lineage: Bacteria; Bacillati; Actinomycetota; Actinomycetes; Mycobacteriales; Nocardiaceae. The record is from Rfam by way of RNAcentral.